CAAAGAAGUAUAUCGAGGUAAUUUUAUUGAUAUCUUCUCAUCUUGAUGAUGUUCUUCCGUCCGAACACAAACGCAACCAUUGUUGAUGUCAAUAAUGUAUCAUUCAGGCCGGUGCAUCAGAGCACGCGAGAGCACUUGGCCCUAAAGGUUCCGAUGCCCACAAGGCUGCAGUGAUCGGCGAUACCAUCGGGGAUCCUCUAAAGGACACGUCGGGGCCGUCGCUCAACAUCCUCAUCAAGCUGAUGGCGGUGGAGUCGCUCGUGUUCGCACCAUUCUUUGCGGCUCACGGCGGCCUCCUCUUCAAGAUCCUCUGAGAUGGGAGAGGGGGGGGGACCGAGAGUGGGAAGGAGGCACCACCACGAGCUCCACUUCCACCUCCAUGUUCUUCUGCUACUGAUGCCAAACCUCUGUCACCCUGUCAACUGUUUGGCCUACCCAGUUUUCCGUCUUUAUGGUUAGUUCGUGUUGUAGUUCCAUGCAAGUCGGCACCUGCAAAGCCCCAUCGUGGACUUUGGAGCCAAGCAAGCUUUUCUUGUACUCGGUGAUGAUGAUAAUGGUGUUGACAGUUUUCUUUUCUUUUAAAUGGUGAUGAUAGUUGGAAAUGAUUCACCAAUAAGUUUUCUGCUGGCCAUAGCUACAGGGAGUUGGGUGUCUAAUGUCAUCAUCAUACAUGAUGCAGCCCAAGAUUUGAAAUUAAGAUUAAUUGAUUUUAUUAAUCAUCAUACAAAGCAUACGUGAUUGAUUUCGUAAAGGUCAAAAAAGAAAACUCAAAGCCUACAAAAUUUGCUUGAGUAAUUAUGUUAUUGUUUUCUCACCUUAUUAGGUGUUCGG
RNAcentral lists this long non-coding RNA (831 nucleotides) under Musa acuminata (dwarf banana). RNAcentral's name for it is "long non-coding RNA (MACU_LNC004151)". Lineage: Eukaryota; Viridiplantae; Streptophyta; Magnoliopsida; Zingiberales; Musaceae. The record is from RNAcentral.